AGCGAACGCUGGCGGCAGGCCUAACACAUGCAAGUCGAACGAACUCUUCGGAGUUAGUGGCGGACGGGUGAGUAACACGUGGGAACGUGCCUUUAGGUUCGGAAUAACUCAGGGAAACUUGUGCUAAUACCGAAUGCGCCCUUCGGGGGAAAGAUUUAUCGCCUUUAGAGCGGCCCGCGUCUGAUUAGCUAGUUGGUGAGGUAAAGGCUCACCAAGGCGACGAUCAGUAGCUGGUCUGAGAGGAUGAUCAGCCACAUUGGGACUGAGACACGGCCCAAACUCCUACGGGAGGCAGCAGUGGGGAAUCUUGCGCAAUGGGCGAAAGCCUGACGCAGCCAUGCCGCGUGAAUGAUGAAGGUCUUAGGAUUGUAAAAUUCUUUCACCGGGGACGAUAAGGACGGUACCCGGAGAAGAAGCCCCGGCUAACUUCGU
Molecule: ribosomal RNA, 432 nt
Filed under: uncultured bacterium
Lineage: Bacteria
Description: partial 16S ribosomal RNA
Rfam family: Bacterial small subunit ribosomal RNA
Source: RNAcentral